UAAUACGUAGGUGGCAAGCGUUGUCCGGAAUUAUUGGGCGUAAAGCGCUCGCAGGCGGUCUUUUAAGUCUGAUGUGAAAUCUCGUGGCUUAACCACGAACGGUCAUUGGAAACUGGAGGACUUGAGUACAGAAGAGGAGAGUGGAAUUCCACGUGUAGCGGUGAAAUGCGUAGAGAUGUGGAGGAACACCAGUGGCGAAGGCGACUCUCUGGUCUGUAACUGACGCUGAGGAGCGAAAGCGUGGGGAGCGAACAGGAUUAGAUACCCUGGUAGUCCACGCCGUAAACGAUGAGUGCUAGGUGUUAGGGGGUUUCCGCCCCUUAGUGCUGAAGUUAACGCAUUAAGCACUCCGCCUGGGGAGUACGGCCGCAAGGCUG
This 377-nucleotide ribosomal RNA is filed under the name uncultured bacterium. RNAcentral describes it as "bacterial SSU rRNA". It matches the Rfam family "Bacterial small subunit ribosomal RNA", at positions 521 to 896 of the family's 1533-position model. The record is from RNAcentral.